UACGGGGGGGGCAAGCGUUGUUCGGAAUUACUGGGCGUAAAGGGCUCGUAGGCGGCCAACUAAGUCAGACGUGAAAUCCCUCGGCUUAACCGGGGAACUGCGUCUGAUACUGGAUGGCUUGAGUUUGGGAGAGGGAUGCGGAAUUCCAGGUGUAGCGGUGAAAUGCGUAGAGAUCAGGAAGAACACCGGUGGCGAAGGCGCUCUGCUAGGCCGCAACUGACACUGAGGGACGAAAGCUAGGGGAGCGAAUGGG
Molecule: ribosomal RNA, 253 nt
Filed under: uncultured bacterium
Lineage: Bacteria
Description: partial 16S ribosomal RNA
Rfam family: Bacterial small subunit ribosomal RNA
Source: RNAcentral